Molecule: ribosomal RNA, 253 nt
Filed under: uncultured bacterium
Lineage: Bacteria
Description: partial 16S ribosomal RNA
Rfam family: Bacterial small subunit ribosomal RNA
Source: RNAcentral
UACGUAGGGUGCAAGCGUUGUCCGGAAUUAUUGGGCGUAAAGAGCUCGUAGGCGGUCUGUCGCGUCUGCUGUGAAAACUCAGGGCUUAACCCUGAGCUUGCAGUGGGUACGGGCAGACUAGAGUGCGGUAGGGGAGACUGGAAUUCCUGGUGUAGCGGUGAAAUGCGCAGAUAUCAGGAGGAACACCGGUGGCGAAGGCGGGUCUCUGGACAUUUCCUGACGCUGAGGCACGAAAGCCAGGGGAGCAAACGGG